AAGAAUCGCCCCCGUUUUUUGAAAUGGGUUCUAUUCCCAAACCGUGUAUACAUACCUUUGUUGCUUUGGCAGGCCGCCUCUCGAGGCGUCGGCUUCGGCUGAUUGCGCCUGCCAGAGGACCCUAACUCGUUUGUUUAGUGAUGUCUGAGUACUAUAUAAUAGUUA
This 165-nucleotide unclassified non-coding RNA is filed under the name uncultured Meliniomyces. RNAcentral's name for it is "sequence contains ITS1". The record is from RNAcentral. Lineage: Eukaryota; Fungi; Ascomycota; Leotiomycetes; Helotiales; Helotiaceae.